GUGCUCGAGUGGCGAACGGGUGAGUAACACGUGAGUAACCUGCCCUUGACUUUGGGAUAACUUCAGGAAACUGGGGCUAAUACCGGAUAGGAGCUCCUGCUGCAUGGUGGGGGUUGGAAAGUUUCGGCGGUUGGGGAUGACUCGCGGCUUAUCAGCUUGUUGGUGGGGUAGUGGCUUACCAAGGCUUUGACGGGUAGCCGGCCUGAGAGGGUGACCGGCCACAUUGGGACUGAGAUACGGCCCAG
This 245-nucleotide ribosomal RNA is filed under the name uncultured Actinomycetales bacterium. Its description in RNAcentral is "partial 16S ribosomal RNA". It matches the Rfam family "Bacterial small subunit ribosomal RNA", at positions 87 to 334 of the family's 1533-position model. Lineage: Bacteria; Bacillati; Actinomycetota; Actinomycetes; Actinomycetales. The record is from RNAcentral.